Hevea brasiliensis (rubber tree) is the source of this 1485-nucleotide RNA transcript. It is a transcript of the gene named protein FLX-like 3, with no coding region annotated. The record is from RefSeq and is a predicted model, not a curated record. The transcript has 6 exons. Lineage: Eukaryota; Viridiplantae; Streptophyta; Magnoliopsida; Malpighiales; Euphorbiaceae.
GGUAACUAAAAAAUAUGAUUAAAAUUUAGGUAUCAUAUUAUAAUUUACGUUUUUUAUACAAUCUAUUUAGCUUGCCCAGCAGAGAAACCCGAAAAGGCAAGCUCCUGAGAAGCUAGCUGAGUCUCUAUCCCUUCUUCACAGAGCAAUUUAAAAUGGCUGGGAGGAAUCGAAUUCAUCGUGAGUCCUAUAAUGACCUUCGUGGGUUCCCCCGUGAGAGACCUUUUAUUCGUGGCCCUCCUUUGCCACAUCCACCUCCACCUCCUCACCCUGCCUUGUUGGAGGAUGAACUUGAAAUACAGCAUGCUGAAAUCCGUGGGCUCCUUGGUGAUAAUCGUCGGCUGAUUGAAGAUCGGAUGGCUAUGCAGCAAGAGCUUGGUGCUGCCAAGGAGGAACUUCAUCGCAUGAAUCUUGUCAUUGGUGAAAUGCAUACAGAACAUGAAGUGCACUUGAGGGAGCUUAUUGAGAAAAGCUUGAAGCUGGAGGCUGAUCUUCGUGCAACUGAGCCUUUGAAGAAUGAGGUUGUACAACUUCGUGCAGAAGUUCAGAAACUGAAUAAUGUAAAGCAGGAUCUACUUGGGCAAAUUCAGAGCCUUAAACAAGACCUUGCAAGAUCACAAGCUGAUAGUAAACAGAUUCCUCUUUUGCGGGGUGAGAUUGAGGGCCUGCACCAGGACGUUAUGCAUGCUAGAACUGCUAUUGAUUAUGAAAAGAAGGCAAACAUUGAGUUGGUGGAGCAGAGGCAGGCAAUGGAGAAGAACAUGGUGUCUAUGGCUCGUGAAGUUGAAAAGCUACGGGCUGAACUUACUAGUGCUGACGCUCAACCCUGGGUUGCUGGUGGACCAUAUGGGAUGAAGUUCGGUAAUCCAGAGGGGGUGUUUCCUGCACCUUAUGGGGAUGGAUAUGGGGUUCAUAUGGUUGCUGCUGACAAAGGUCCUUUGUAUGGCCCUGGUCCUGCUUCAUGGGACAAGUCCCGCAUGCCUCGUCGUUGAUGGUUGCUGGUCAAAUUCAAAAGGGGCAAAGUGUUUUUGUUUCCACCUGUUAUCCUGUUCAAUAUCUCAGUAGGCAAGAAGUGUCUUUCAUCAUUGUGUGCAUGCCAACCAGUGGUCUUUUAUUUAAAUACAUUAUGGAAAACUGGGCGUGAAGGCAGAGGUCAGGUAUUUUUUUAUUACUAUUGCUUUUUUAUACUGGCUCUCCACCUCACAACAGCUUGAAACUGCAUUAUCCCACUUCGAUCACUGAGGUAGGUACCAUCAAAACCAAGUACUACAGAAGAGGAGGUUCUAGUCUUCUGUUAUUAAUAUUUAAAAAAAAAAGUUUUCUGCUUUUCAAAUGAUUUAAAAGGGAAAAAGGACUGCUGAGAAACCAGUUAAUUUGGUUUGAUUUGUUCAAUUUUGGUUUGAAAGUUUAAUCAAUCUUGCCUUUUGGAGUUCAGUUUGGUUGUGAGUUUCUCAGAACAGAAUAAAAUGAUUAUUCUUUGUUGAUUUA